Molecule: ribosomal RNA, 445 nt
Filed under: uncultured bacterium
Lineage: Bacteria
Description: bacterial SSU rRNA
Rfam family: Bacterial small subunit ribosomal RNA
Source: RNAcentral
GUGAGGAAUAUUGCGCAAUGGAGGCAACUCUGACGCAGCCAUGCCGCGUGCAGGAAGAAGGCGCUACGCGUUGUAAACUGCUUUUAACCGGGAAGAAACCCCAGGACGUGUCCUGGGUUGACGGUACCGGAGGAAUAAGCACCGGCUAACUUCGUGCCAGCAGCCGCGGUAAUACGAAGGGUGCAAGCGUUAUCCGGAUUCAUUGGGUUUAAAGGGUGCGUAGGAGGAGCGUUAAGUCAGUGGUGAAAUCCUGCAGCUUAACUGUAGACUUGCCAUUGAUACUGGCGCUCUUGAGUGCGCUUGAAGUGGGCGGAAUGUGCCGUGUAGCGGUGAAAUGCUUAGAUAUGGCACAGAACACCAAUUGCGAAGGCAGCUCACUAAGGCGAUACUGACGCUGAGGCACGAAAGCGUGGGGAUCGAACAGGAUUAGAUACCCGAGUAGUCC